RNAcentral lists this ribosomal RNA (578 nucleotides) under Klebsiella pneumoniae. Its description in RNAcentral is "bacterial SSU rRNA". It matches the Rfam family "Bacterial small subunit ribosomal RNA", at positions 109 to 683 of the family's 1533-position model. The record is from RNAcentral. Lineage: Bacteria; Pseudomonadati; Pseudomonadota; Gammaproteobacteria; Enterobacterales; Enterobacteriaceae.
AGUAAUGUCUGGGAAACUGCCUGAUGGAGGGGGAUAACUACUGGAAACGGUAGCUAAUACCGCAUAACGUCGCAAGACCAAAGUGGGGGACCUUCGGGCCUCAUGCCAUCAGAUGUGCCCAGAUGGGAUUAGCUAGUAGGUGGGGUAACGGCUCACCUAGGCGACGAUCCCUAGCUGGUCUGAGAGGAUGACCAGCCACACUGGAACUGAGACACGGUCCAGACUCCUACGGGAGGCAGCAGUGGGGAAUAUUGCACAAUGGGCGCAAGCCUGAUGCAGCCAUGCCGCGUGUGUGAAGAAGGCCUUCGGGUUGUAAAGCACUUUCAGCGGGGAGGAAGGCGGUGAGGUUAAUAACCUCGUCGAUUGACGUUACCCGCAGAAGAAGCACCGGCUAACUCCGUGCCAGCAGCCGCGGUAAUACGGAGGGUGCAAGCGUUAAUCGGAAUUACUGGGCGUAAAGCGCACGCAGGCGGUCUGUCAAGUCGGAUGUGAAAUCCCCGGGCUCAACCUGGGAACUGCAUUCGAAACUGGCAGGCUAGAGUCUUGUAGAGGGGGGUAGAAUUCCAGGUGUAGCGGUG